UGUUCUACUAUACGUUAAUUCAAUAAAACACCAUUCAUGCGCGUCACUAUUAGACCGACGGAAGCCGGCGCUCUUCGGAGUGUCCUGCAAAUACCGAAUCUAGCCAAAUGCCUCGUCAUCUAAUUAGUGACGCGUAUGAAUGGUUCAACAAGAUUCCUUUUGUCCCUAUCUACUAUCUAGCGAAACCACAGCUAAAGGAACGGGCUUGGCAAAAUCAGCGGGGAAAGAAGACCCUGUUGAGCUUGACUCUAGUCUGACUCUGUGAAGAGACAUGAAAGG
Molecule: non-coding RNA, 279 nt
Filed under: Trichinella patagoniensis
Lineage: Eukaryota; Metazoa; Nematoda; Enoplea; Trichinellida; Trichinellidae
Description: Eukaryotic large subunit ribosomal RNA
Rfam family: Eukaryotic large subunit ribosomal RNA
Source: Rfam by way of RNAcentral